Molecule: long non-coding RNA, 3254 nt
Filed under: Sorghum bicolor (sorghum)
Lineage: Eukaryota; Viridiplantae; Streptophyta; Magnoliopsida; Poales; Poaceae
Description: long non-coding RNA (SBIC_LNC012552)
Source: RNAcentral
UAUAUACGUGUUUGGCCGGCUUGGGGCUUACUCUCUUGGCAUUCUUGACUACUAGACAUCCUUGUGAGCCUAAGCAAACACCUCCCACUCAUCUCCUACAUAGAUUAUACAUCUUUGUGAGAUUAGGAGUGAUUCCAAGUGCAUUUGCUUGAGUGAUUGCAUCUAGUGGCACUUGGGGAUCGUUUUGGCUACGGUUUUCUUGUUACUCUUGGUGGUUGCCGCCACCUAGACGGCUUGGAGCAGCGGAGGAGGAUUGGCACGAGUUGGUGAUUGUUCGUGGCCAUCUCCCGGUGAUUGUGAGAGGUUUGUGCCUACCUCGGCGGAGAGCCAAAGGCAACAUUAGUGGAUUGCUCGUGUCAUUGAGUUACCUCACUUGUGGGUAGGUUCUUGUGGUGUCCUAGUGAGGACGAGGUUCGUGCUACACCUCUUAGCCACCGAACCACCAAGUGUUGGUCGACACAACGGGGACGUAGCGUGCCGGCAAGCACGUGAACCUCGGGAGAAAAAUUGUGUGUCUCCAUUGUGAUUAUUCAUUGGAUUUCUUCCGGUGAUUGGACUUCAUAUUAUUGAUUGGUUCAUCCCCUCUACGUGGCGGUAUAAAGUUCAAACCAUCUCUUUUACAUUCCCGCAAACUAGAGUAGCUUACUUACUUGUAUAGAAACUUUAGGUAGCCUUCUAGUGUAAGUAGUGACAUAGCUCUUGUGUGUCUAGUGAUUAUAGCAACUAAGAAUUGUUGGAUAGGUGGCUUGCAAACACCCCAUUAGAGCUAGAGCAAAAAGCUUCGCUUUGUUAUUUACUAACCUCUUGCUCUAGUGAGUUUGUAGAAUUUUUAAAUAGGCUAUUCACCCCCCUCUAGCCAUAUUAGGACCUUUCACCACGGAACUGCCCCAUAGCCUCUCGUACGCUCAUCGUGCUCAGGAUUUUCAAGCGCAUACGUGAGUUCAUCCUUCUCUCUAUUAGGCUUGAACUCACCAGACUGAACCGCCUCUCGUGCACGGACUAGUCUCUCUGCUGCUCUAGAGAUUUCUUGGCCUCAAACUAGCGCCCCGGUGUCUGGGUCCACGCUUCCCCUAUAACCGUAGAACCAAUGCUUGGAGCGCUCACUCCAAUUCUUUGCUAUUGUCUCGGGUGUGACCCCCCUAGCAAGCAUCUCCUAUUUCAUUCGGUCCCACUUAGGAACAACACUCUUAUAACCACCUGACCCCAUAUGAUGGUGGUAUGUCUUUUUACUUGCAUUCUCUUUGUUCCUAAUGGCUCGUUUCUCGCCCUCUUCUGAUGUUUUCUACUGCAUGAAGUCAUCCCAGAAGGCCCUUAGCUUUACAUAUUGCUUGAGGUUGAAAUUUGGAGUUUUAUUUUUCUUGACAAAUUUAUUGUACAAAGACAUCUUCCAAUUCUGAAACAGUACCGCCAUCUUCUUCAUAGUCCAGUCAUAAAUUUGCACCUUCAACUCUUCAUCGUUGGCGUCGAAAGUGAAAACCACCGUGACGGCUUUCCAAACUAACUCCUUGUCACGAUUCAGAGACAAAAUUGAUUUCAGGAGCACCUCGCUUCUCUAUCCUCCAUAGUGACCAACAUAUUUAUUUGCAUGUUCACCAAGUGGUCUGUAUGUAGCUAUCUCAAACUCGGAGAUUACGUAGCGGCCUUCCAACGGCUUCUUUGGCCCUCGUGGAGGUACUCUUCUCCCCGUAGAGGUCGAUCCAGAAGGCUACACGUAGAACCAAGUAAGUCUAAAACCUAAUGUAAGAGAUGCAUUAUAUAUGUUUACAUUUACAUACCUCGUCGAUAUUUUCUUCUUGUUGCACGACAAGUUGUUGCUUAGGCGCAUUGCCCUCUUGUCGCUCAAGGGCAUUGCCCUCUUGUUGCUCAGUCGGAUUGUCUUGCAUAUGAUCUCGUUGUAAUCAAUAAAGUACUGAUUACCAUCGUCGAUCAUAUUUUGAAUGACAUCUUCCAUAUAAUCAGGAUCAUCGUGAGGACGGUCAGCCAUUUCUAUGUCUGCAACCAUACAUAUAUAUAUAUAUAUUCUAUAUAAGAUAAGAAAUACACUAGAAUAAUAUAAGUGCUAGAGUGCUCCAAACUUAAAAAUAAUAUAAAAAAUAAUACUAACAAUAACACUAGAAUUAUAUACUAGCACAAUAUAUUUUAUAACAAUUCAAAACACUAAUACUAAAAAGUCUUUUAAGCCAUGUAAUACACUAGAAUAAUAUACUAAAAAAAUAAUACUAAAAAAUAAUACUAGAAUAAUAGUACAAACAAUAAUAUAUACAAAACACUAGAAUUAAUAAUAUACUAGAAUAAUAUACUAAAAAGUCUUUUAAGCCAAGUAAUACACUAGAAUAAUAUACUAAAAAAAUAAUACUAAAAAAUAACACUAGAAUAAUAGUACAAACAAUAAUAUAUACAAAACACUACAAUUCAUAAUAUACUAGAAUAAUAUACUAAAAAGUCUUUUAAGCCAAGUAAUACACUAGAAUAAUAUACUAAAAAAUAAUAUAAAAAAUAAUACUAGAAUAAUAGUACAAACAAUAAUAUAUACAAAACACUAGAAUUAAUAAUAUACUAGAAUAAUAUACUAAAAAGUACUACUAGAAUAAUAUAAUAGCACAAUAUAUUUCAUAACAAUUCAAAACACUACAAUUCAUAAUAUACUAUACUAAAAAGUCUUUUAAGCCAAGUAAUACACUAGAUUAAUAUACUAAAAAAAUAAUACUAAAAAAUAAUACUAGAAUAAUAGUACAAAUAAUAAUAGCACAAUAAAUUUAUGAUAAACAAUUGUAUAUAUGUAUAUAUGUAUAUAUAUAUCAUAACAAUUCAAAACACAUUAUAUAUCAUACAUGUAUAUAUGUACAUAUACAUAAAUAUACAAUUGUAUAUUAUGUAUAUUCAAAACACAGUAUAUCAUAUAUAACAUUCAUUUAUUAUAUACAUUUAUUAUAUAUAUACAUAUAUAUAUAUAUAUUAUAUGUAUAUAUAUACAUUUAUGAUAUAUAUAUAUAUACAUUCAUUCAUUUUGUAGAUUAUAUAUAGCCGGAGUUCGAUCGAUCUAGUACAUUGGGAGUGAGGAGACGGCCAGAGUUCUUGACGUGGAAGAUGGUACGGUGGCCGACGCUGGUGGAUGGCAACGGCGGCGCUGGUGGAGGGCCACGACAGCGCUGGAAGAGACGGUCGCGGCGGCGCUGGGAGAUGAAACGACGACGGCGAAGAUGAACGCGGCGGCGCUGGAGAUGAAGACGAUGAUGAAGGAACCGCCGGAUCCA